Molecule: ribosomal RNA, 497 nt
Filed under: uncultured bacterium
Lineage: Bacteria
Description: partial 16S ribosomal RNA
Rfam family: Bacterial small subunit ribosomal RNA
Source: RNAcentral
GAUGAACGCUGGCGGCGUGCCUAAUACGUGCAAGUCGAGCGAACGGACGAGAAGCUUGCUUCUCUGAUGUUAGCGGCGGACGGGUGAGUAACACGUGGAUAACCUACCUAUAAGACUGGGAUAACUUCGGGAAACCGGAGCUAAUACCGGAUAAUAUUUUGAACCGCAUGGUUCAAAAGUGAAAGACGGUCUUGCUGUCACUUAUAGAUGGAUCCGCGCUGCAUUAGCUAGUUGGUAAGGUAACGGCUUACCAAGGCAACGAUGCAUAGCCGACCUGAGAGGGUGAUCGGCCACACUGGAACUGAGACACGGUCCAGACUCCUACGGGAGGCAGCAGUAGGGAAUCUUCCGCAAUGGGCGAAAGCCUGACGGAGCAACGCCGCGUGAGUGAUGAAGGUCUUCGGAUCGUAAAACUCUGUUAUUAGGGAAGAACAUAUGUGUAAGUAACUGUGCACAUCUCGACGGUACCUAAUCAGAAAGCCACGGCUAACUACGUG